AGAGGAAGUCCGGUGCGAAUCCGGCGCGGUCCCGCCACUGUCACCGGGGAGCGGACCCCCGCCCAUGGCCACGGCCCCGACUCGGGGCUGGAAGGCCGGGGGUGCCGCCGAUCCGGGAGCCAGGAGACUC
This 130-nucleotide non-coding RNA is filed under the name Actinacidiphila glaucinigra. The record is from RNAcentral. Lineage: Bacteria; Bacillati; Actinomycetota; Actinomycetes; Kitasatosporales; Streptomycetaceae.